AGGAAAAUCACACUUAAAUGAUUGUCUUCU
Molecule: non-coding RNA, 30 nt
Filed under: Rattus norvegicus (Norway rat)
Lineage: Eukaryota; Metazoa; Chordata; Mammalia; Rodentia; Muridae
Source: RNAcentral